This 250-nucleotide ribosomal RNA is filed under the name uncultured prokaryote. RNAcentral's name for it is "partial 16S ribosomal RNA". It matches the Rfam family "Bacterial small subunit ribosomal RNA", at positions 524 to 773 of the family's 1533-position model. The record is from RNAcentral.
UACGGAGGACGCGAGCGUUAUCCGGAUUCAUUGGGUUUAAAGGGUGCGCAGGCGGCCUGGCAAGUCAGCGGUGAAAUCCCGGGGCCCAACCCCGGAAGUGCCGUUGAUACUGUCGGGCUGGAAUGCGGUCGGGGCCGGCGGAACGUGGCGUGUAGCGGUGAAAUGCGUAGAUAUGCCACAGAACGCCGAUCGCGGAGGCGGCCGGCCAGGCCUGCAUUGACGCUCGGGCACGAAAGCGUGGGGAUCGAAC